CUUUGUUGAUCCUUAAAGGACUAUGGAACCUCCAAUGGUUUGAACAAGAACACAGUAAUUCUCUAUCAGAGACGAGUCUCGAAUUCUACAAUAGACCGGUUUAGGCAGCAGAAACAACAACAUUCACAUAUGAUGUAGAUGAUGAAGGUAGCCAGCCAAGAGAGCGAGAUUAUUUGGGUCCCCAGGAGUCCAGGUAGAUGAUCUUGGACAUCGAAUCCUCGGUGCGCCUGGCUCUCUCCACCGCUUUCUCCCCUCCUCUCCUCCACUGAUCAAUGGAAGAAGAAGACAUCCUCUUGGCCCGAGAGAACGGCGCCAUGCUGCGCUUGGCACGCCCGUGGAGGGACCUGAGCGCGUAGUUCCAUCGACACAGGCCCGCCUGAUCCUUGAGCGCCUCCACCGCCGCCACGCUCGCUGCGACGAUCAGCGAAGCCUUGCUUGCCGAAGCCAUAUGUAUCAAUCUACUACUCAGUAGUUUGAACCUGUGAUGAGUUGCAAAUGUUACAGAAGUGGGCGACGGGGAAGGGAAACACAAGCGUCCAUAUAAAGCCCCCGAGGAAGGGAAAACAGGGGAUGAGAUUGCCGCUGGUUUCGGCUCAUAGUUGUUUCCCAGAUACAAGGGGAGGCUUUUGCUUGUUUACGGAUAAGACUGUGACUGCAUUGGAAUCAGUGAGACGGAUGGUUUGGUAGGAGAAAACGUGUGGCUAAAGUAGAACAAAAGGCACACGGAUCGGAGACCUGUGGGCGGCACCAGUAAACCGGGAAUCUAACGGUUGAUCAGCCAUCCUUGCUUGGCUUGGCGAUCCUGUCGAGAUGUGAGGUUUGGUCUCUCUCUAUCUCUCUCUCUCUCUCUCUCUCACACACACAUCUUUGAGUCGAGCAACUGCGGAUGGAUUCCCUUCUUACUCCUGUUUUUGUUUCGGUAACAAAGGUCACUCAGCAUCAGUCUCUUGCUGGAUCGAUAAUAGUAUCUAUCUAAAACAAAUUCUCUCUUUUUUUAUUGUUCUUGUAUGAGCUGAAGAUAAAGAAAGGGAUAAACAUUGGUGAGAGAUGGGAGAGAGUGAUCUUUCGAAGAUGUGAUUGAUUUAGCAUAGCUUCUGCCGAUGGAUUUCAUGUCAUCCUUUGCUCCUUUUAAUCAGUUCCAUCGAAUAUAUAUGAGAUAAGACGAGAAAUGCCACAAACAUCUUGAACAAACUUAUCCAUGCCAUGAAAAGGCCUCAUCAUGUUCGAACAAUUCAGUAUAUAUUACUGCAAAAUCGGAUUGUUUUUACAUAGGAGACGUAGGCUGAACAGAGAAGAAGGAUUUGGUUCAUCUUUGAACCAAACACAAAGACACCUCUCUCUAAUUGGGACCCCAACAGCUCAAGUACACGACCGUCCUCAGUGCCUCCUCUGCUUGCUUGGCCUUCGCAUCCGCCGCCUGCCACUCUCUCCUCGUGUCGAUGGAGGAAGAUGUCCUCUUGGCCCGAGACAAGGAGCCUACGGUGUUGUUCUUCGUCCGCUGCUGCAGAGAUCUGAGGACGUAGUUCCACCGGCAUAGCCCCGCUUGGUCCUUGAGCGCUUCCACUGCGCUCAUGCUAGCCGCGACAACGAAACAAGCCCUGCUUGCAGAAGCCAUAUCUUUAGCCUAUGAAAGAACUGAUGAGUGACAAAGAAGAUCUCGGUGGAAGUAGAUCGUGAGUGUCUCAAUCUGAUGCCGAAGAAGGAGAUGGAAGGGUGUCCAAUAUAUAAGGCUACGGUAAUCGAGGAGGUUGGGAGGAGAGGGUAUGGAAGAGAAAGAGAACCGGGGUGCGCUGCUGCUGGUUUCUUGCUUCUCACUCCCCCUUCCCCUGAUACCAGCGGCCAUAUUGCUUGUUUAUUAGCUUCCACAUGGUUGGAUUUGACACCGCGAGAGUGACGCCAAGGAACUUGGCAGCAUAUGUAUCUUGGAUCUGUAAUAUGUAUAGUAUAGUAUAGUAUAGUAUAGCAUAUAUAUAUAUAUAUAUAUGGUUUCAUCCAAUAAAUUUAUAUCUGAAAUAUUAAUUUCAAGAUGAUAUACGUAUUUAUUUAUCUCCGUAAAAUUAAGCUACAAAAUCUGCAUGUCCAUAAUAAUAAUGGAGAUGAUCACAAAACCCAAGCGAGACGAAUGGCGUCGUCUCUACAACACUCCUAUUUGGGUCCCCAGCAGUCCAAGUAGAUGAGCUUGGACAAGGACCUCUCGGUGCGCUUGGCUCUCUCCACCGCUCCCUCCCCUCCUUUCCUCCACUGAUCAACGGACGACCAAGACAUCCUCUUGGCCUGAGAGAGCGUCGCCAUGCUGCGUUUCGCCCGCUGGUGGAGGGACCCAACCGUGUAGUUCCAUCGGCACAGCCCUGCUUGAUCCUUGAGCGCCUCCACAGCCGCCAUGCUCGCUGCGAUUAUCAACGAAGCCUUGCUUGCCGAAACCAUACGUAUCAAUCGCCUGCUCUGAGUUUGAAUCUGUGUAACAGAAGUGAGUGUUCGACGGGGAAAGGGAAAGAGCACACGACAGUCCAUAUAAAGCCCGGAACGGAGGGCGGCUGCAGGGAAGGGAGAGGUGGAGGAAGGAGGAAACUGGGGAUGAGCUGCUGCUGCUGCUGGUUUUGGGUUGCUGUUGUUUUCCAGAUACGGAGGGCUUUCGGUAGGCACUUAAAAAAUAUCCAUCUACUAAAGCAGAAGCAAAGCCACACGGAUCGAAAAAUGGUGGGCUCGACUUGCAGUGGGUGCACGAGGAAACUGGGAAUCCAGCGACGCAGAUAUGGAUUGUUCUGUCAGCUGGGUUGUCCUGUUUAUUUGGUUUUUGCCUUCAGCUCUGGUUAAGAAUUAGGGUUCGAUCAAUAUCAAUAAUGAUGCUCGAAUUACGAAACAAGUAACUAUAUCAAUACAUAGAUUCCUUUGUUGGUAACUCAUCUGGAAUGACGCGAGCUUAGCCAUCCAUCAUUGCUGGAAAGUAUUUGUGUGAGUUGAAAACUGUGGUGAAAGUGUAGGAAGUUUACUGUCUCACCGAGAAAGAGAACACUUUGGCGAAGAAUUCAGAUCGAUGGACACAAGGAAAACAUUUCUAACAUGCUUAUCCACGCCAUGAAAACGCAUCAUCCAUCAUGCACGCUCCAAGAAUUCAGAAGAAAUGGUUGAUGAAUAUACAUCAUCAAAGCUGGAUAAUUUACAGUGGAGAAGUAAGCUGAAGCAAAAGGAUCCUCUAAUUGGGACCCCAACAGCUCAAGUACAUGACUGUUCUCAGCGCCUCCUCCGACUGCUUCCCCUUCUCCGCCGCCGCCUGCCACCCUCUCCUACUCCUGUCGACGGAGGAAGAUGUCCUCUUGGCCUGAGACAACGACCCCAUGCUGCUCUUCGCCCGCUGCUGUAGGGAUCUGACGACGUAGUUCCACCGGCACAGCCCCGCCUGAUCCUUGAGCGCCUCCACCGCGCUCAUGCUCGCUGCCACCACCACACAAGCCCUGCUUGUACAACCCAUCUCUUCAAUACCUCCCGAGUGAGUGCAAAGAGGAAGUAGCUUGUAGUUCUCUUCUCUCGAUCUGAUGCAGCAGUGGGAAGGGAAUUGUGUGCAAUAUAUAAGGCCACAAUAGUUGAAGACGAUAAGAGGAUAAGAUGGAUGGGGGACAGAGGGAAGAGGAGAGUGCCGCUGCUGGGUUUGUGCUUUCCGAUUCCUUUUCCCCCAAACCAGGGGCUCUAUGCCAUUUGCUUAUUGGCCUCCACUUGCUGAACUGGACCCAGCGAAGUAGAUUGGCGGCGUGUGCGAACGCACGUACCUGGGUGAGGUUCUUCUGACCUGUAUGCAUAAUAUGCGUUUGCAUAUGAGGAAAAUAUUGGUUUUGAUAGGAUAAAUAAUAAUCCGGUCAAAACUCAUCCCAUCAUCUUGAUUAAAGAAGUCACCUCAACCAUAAGAGAAGGCCUACAUGCAUGUAUUGAAGCAAAACGAUACGGCGACACAAGAAGCCAUCCUCCGCCUAUCUCGGACAAGCCAAGAGCCCUAACAAAACAUAUAAUCACAGAUGUCCUAUCCUGACGUCAUUCUUUAGAGGAUGCACUCGUCAACUACCACAAUCGAUAAUCCCUUGGCAGGGUAAGGGACACCCUAACCCAUCAUUGGCUUUACGCCAUCAAUCACUCAGGUAUAAAACCCAAGCCCCUAAGCCAAACGGGGACAGGCAGACUCUAUCUCAGCUCUUCUAAGAUCUACUAAACCCCCUUCACAUACUAUACUAACUUCGGUGUCGGAGGGAUCGGGUCGGGACAUCCUCCAAUGUCGAUCGCUUGUGCAGGGCUCAUGCAUAUCUAAGGAGCACCUCAGAGUGAUGCUGAGCGCUUUUAGACAAGGCCAAGACACCCCUCGAGAUGACCUAAAACUUCUACCAAUAGACAAGUUGCACCUUGGGACGAUCGUGAGUCAACUACCAUAAGCCAACAAUGCUUUGGAAGUCCACUUGCCACCUCGGCUACUCACUCGAGUCGCCUCAUCCAUGUAGGUGCGGACCCCAAGGAUGGAUCUACACCUUCGGGAUCGAACCAGGUUGUGUUAACUCUCCGGUCAAUAGUACUAAUGUAACGACAUUUUAGCACUGAAAGGAGGGCCCGAAUGUCGCAAGAAUAUUCAUCCACGACUUUCCCUGAUGAACUAUCAUGAACUUAGCUGAAAUUGCCUAAGCCAUGAGGCACUAUUAUGGCAAAGUCUUAGACUUAGCUUGAGUUGUCUAAGUCGUAAAACACCCUUGCGCCAAUUUCUCAAACUUAGCUGGGAUUGCUUGAGUCAUAACGCGCCCAAACGAUAUGCGGCCACAAAGGGUCAAUCAAUUUGCAACCUCACUCAGGCCUUGAAAGACCUGUAAAAAAAAAAGUGAACUAGUUCAAAAACGAGUGACGGACAAGUCCCCACGUCUCAUAAAAAGGGAAGCUUUAUAAGCAAUUCAAUGAGCACCUUAUGUGCAUGGGAGAAAAGAGAGGAAUGAGAAAAACAAGGACUUUAAAAAGUUGAAGGAAUAGUUGCAAGUCCAUAAACAACUGCUCACCGGGUGUUGGGCGCAAAGGCAAGUCCCCGUCAAGUUAACAUACAAACUUAUGAAGAUUUUUCAAUGCCCGACACUACCCCAAAGCUCCAUUUCCCUUGGUGCCACCCGGGGGAUUCUAGGAUGCUGAGAUGGCUGACAUUUUACGUGUAGUAACGGGCUAUAGAAAACAACCUAUGGCAUAUGAAAAUAAAGUCAUUUUGGGACAGUUUUGCCCGACACAACGAGUGGUUGCACUAUAACACUGAACCUAUUCGAAUAUACAUUUUUAUAGCAAAAACACAUAAAACCAAGGCAAAAUAUGUUGCCAAGCAUUUAUACAUAUAUGCAAAAGUGACGAACGGUUCGUUGAAUGAAGUUGUGUGGGUGUGCGACGAUCGUUCGUGUUAGAAUACUCUAGUAAAGAAGCGUUGCCACUGGUACUUGAUGCCUUCGGACGGGAAGGACAACUUAUGUCCUUCCCUCAGGUGGACACCUUCACCUUGGCACAAACACCGAGAUGUCAUUGACAUAUGUUUAACGAUCUUUGGGAUUGAGUGCGGGACACCUACUCAACCCAUUUGAUGCCUUCCUAAGACUCACAUAUCAAGUGCAAGCACUUGUCGGUAUGAUGUAGGUGAUUGCCCCUCUCCUAACCCAACUAAUAUAGUAGGCAGCCUCGACACUACGGCCAGCAAUCCAACCCCUGCUCGCCGACUUGCCUUAAGGAGUAUCCCCAGCCAGCUCCCAACAAAUGCCCCUGAAAUGCCAUCACCAAGCUAAGGUGGCUCUCGAAGCGUAAAUACCCUCGAUAAUAGAGCUCAGUGUCCCAUCGUAUCGCAAGGUGUCCAUGGCCAGAUCGGGGUCAUAGUUCAUUAACUCGAUCGAGAAUUCACUCAAAGUAUAACUUCGGGCCUUGAACCAGCGUCUAAACAAUGUAUAAAAAGAAUUUCUGCAUUUAAAGGAUGAAUAUGACACCUCGAAUGCCUCCCCAUUCGCUCAAAGCAUUCAAGAGGAGCCCAUUUUGGCUAACUUCUGCCCCUCAUUGCUAGAGGCCUUCAAUAGCAGCUCUGAUCCAAUGGAGCACAUUGUAGCCUUUAGGGCUCAGAUGUCAUUAUUUGACACAUCAGACACCUUAAUGUGCUGGGCAUUUCCCACGACCCUAAGUGGGCCAGCUCAAGAGUAUUAUAGUCGCUUGAAACCCCUCUUGAUCACCUCCUUCCUGUAGCUUGCAAAAGAAUUUGAGCACCAUUUUCUCGCUAAUGUGCCCCCAAAGCCAUCCAUAGCCAUGCUGCUCGGGUUGAGAUGGAGGGAAGAUGAGCUUCUCUCCUACUUCGUCGAUCAAUUUAUCGAUGAGAUUCGAGGGAUCCCAGAUGCCCAUCCCUCGUUGGUGACCCAGACUUUCAUGAUGGGCCUGAGGCGUACAUGCUUCGUCUAGUCACUAGUGGAAAAAAUGCUCACAACCAUGUUCGAAAUGCUGCAAAGGGCUAAUCACUAUGUAUCCGCUGAGGACAUGAUCUCAAGUUGAGUAGUUAGAAAAUAUAUUUGAAGAAUUAUAUAAUAAGUUGAUUGAUCAUAAAAUAUAUUUAAAACAAGGACAGAGAUGAGACCAACUAUCACAACACAAUUCAAUUAAAAAUCUAGAAGAAAAAGUAAUCAAAGCAACAAGAACUUCAAUAAAGGACCAAACAAGAUGCCUCCCGGACAUAUGAGUAACAUAUAAAGCCAUCAUCCUCCGUUAUACCAUUAAAGCAACAGCUACAGUGGCAACUUCAAUCCAAACAACUCAAAAAAUAACUUUAAUUAUAAUUAUCAAUAAUUUUGGCAUCCCGACAAUAACAAUCAGCAAAAGGUCAUCUACUAGCUCUAUGAUAAAAUUGGGCACGCAAUAAAAGUUUAUUGAUUUGGACCCAAGUCCACUACUACACCUAAUUGGCCUCAAGCAAACAUCAUGGCUACUCUGACUGCUCAUCCAAGUAAUUGAAUUAUUAACUCUGAUACUUCUCAUCAUAUCACAUUUAAUUUAUAGAAUUUAUUUAUUCACAACGACUAUAGAGGCAAUGAAGAUAUUAUCAUUGGUGAUAGUAAUAAAAUCUCUAUUACUUACACUGGUCUCACGAUACUUAAUCUAUAUAUAAACACUUUUACACUCAAUGAUAUUUUAUGUAUACAUCAUAUUAAAAGGAAUCUUUUUUUUAUUUUAUAAAUAAAAUAAUAUAUUUAUUAAUUUUUUUUACUUAUUUCUUGUAAAGGAUCUGAGCCCAAGAAUAUCCUUGGUUCGAGACUAGAAUAAAAUAACAAGUGUGAGUGACCGUUAACUUCAUAAAUCACCCAACCAAUCGCUUUUGUUUCAAUUACUACUCCGAUCGAUGUGUGACAUCAUCGCUUUCGUCAUCCAUCAUACAUUAUUCAAUGAUAACUAAUUUCUCCCUUUCUAUUUCCAAAUAAAGUAGAAUUGUAAUAUGCUUGUCUUAGUAAUAAAAAUCACAUACUAUCUUUUGGAAUGUCUUCCAUAUUAUACUCCAAACAACUUGAAAUUAUUUAUACUAAUGUCUAAGGCCUUAUUCUAACCAAUUCCUUUAAUAAUUUUAGAUUUUAUGUUAUUUUUAUAAAUUAUUUUACUAAAUAUAUAUUACUAUAUUCCCUCAAACAUAUGAAGUUAUCAUAGUUUUUACUUAUUUUAAAAAAGUGAUCGAGAAUUUCUUCUAAGCUAUUAUUAAAAUAAUUUACUUUAACGAAAGAGGUGAAUACUAAGCUAUGAUGACUUACCUCUCAACUAGUUAGCUUUGCUAAAUGAAAACACAGACACAUAACUGAAACAUGUCUCACCCUCAUACACUAAGCAUCUAUGCUGCUAAUCUUUUGAUCAAUAAUCUUUCAAACUAUAGUCUACCUCAUUAACUGUAUACUCACCUUUAAUCCUACAACACCAGUUAUUUAAAAAAUUAUUUUAUAAAAUUAUAAAUUUUUAAAAACUCAAAGUAUUUGAUUGUUUAUGUUAUUCAUUACUACGUCCUUAUACUUUACAUAAGUUAACACCAAGAUUCAAACUUUAUAUCUUUGAUGUUAUAAUUCUAAAACUCAAAAGAUCUUUAUAUCACGUCAUAUUAUCUUUGUUACAUCUUUCUCUUUCAAAAUCUUAUUCCUUCAUCAAUAUAAACCAAUAUAACAAUCAUCCAUUAUUGGAUUCAUACGAGUACACCUUAAACCCCUAACCCCUCCUCCCCCUCAAAUACACUUCCCACAACAUCAAUCAAUAGUUAUCUAGACCGCCUCCCCCCCUCCCCUCAAACACACCUCUCACGACAUCAAUCAAUAGUUCUCUUUACUCUAGUCUCCUCUGUUAGGUAAUAUUGAAAUGCAUAAACUUAAUUAAAUAAGUGUCACCAACCCUCAAAUACACUUCCCACAGGCACCCUGCUUGAUCCAAGCCAUGAAAACGCAUCAUCCAUCAUGCAUGCCCUAGGAAUUCAGAAGAAAUGGUUUUAUAUACAUCAUCAAAGCCGGAUAAUUUACAGAGGAGAAGUAAGCUGAAGCAAAAGGAUCCUCUAAUUGGGACCCCAACGGCUCAAGUACAUGACUGUUCUCAGCGCCUCCUCCGACUGCUUCCCCUUCUCCGCCGCCGCCUGCCACCCUCUCCUCCUCCUGUCGACGGAGGAAGAUGUCCUCUUGGCCUGAGACAACGACCCCAUGCUGCUCUUCGCCCGCUGCUGCAGGGGUUUGAGGACGUAGUUCCACCGGCACAGCCCCGCUUGAUCCUUGAGCGCCUCCACCGCGCUCAUGCUCGCUGCCACCACCAAACAAGCCGUGCUUGCACAACCCAUCUCUUCAAUACCUCCCGAGUGUGAGUGCAAAGAGGAAGUAGCUCCUAGUUCCCCACUCUCGAUUUGAUGCAGCAGUGGGAAGGGAAUCGCGUGCAAUAUAUAAGGCCACAAUGGUUGAAGAGGAUAAGAUCAAUGGGGGACAGAGAGAACAGGAGUGCGCUGCUGCUGGUUUUGUGCUUUCCGUUGCCAUUUCCCCGAUACCAGCGGCUAAUGCCGUUUGUUUAUUGGCUUCCACUUGACUGAACGCGACACAGCGAAGUAGAUUGGCGGCGUGUGCCAACGCACGUACCUGGGUAAGGUUCUUCUGUCCUGUAUGUAUAAUAUGCGUUUGUAUACGAGUAAAAUAUACGUUUAUACGGUGGUAUUAAUAUAUAUAUAUAUAUAUAUAUAUAUAUAUAUAUAUGUGAAUAAACAAUGGUUGUUAGAAUUAAAUGAGAGAUAAAAAUAAUAAAUAAAAAUAUAUCAUAAUUCCAUUUCAUGAACUCCAUAAAAAAUUCACCAUUCACUGCAAAAUCUGUUCAUCGUAAUAGAGAUGAUAGAAACCUCAACAACAAGUAAUUGCGUCUUAUUUGGGUCCCCAGCAGUCCAGGUACAUGAUCUUGGCCAUGGACUCCUCGGUGCGCUUGGCUCUCUCCACCGCUCCCUCCCCUCCUUUCCUCCACCUAUCGAUGGAGGAAGACAUCCUGUUGGUCUGAGAGAACGGCGCAAUGCUGUGCUUGGCACGGUGGUGGAGGGACCUCAGCGCGUAGUUCCACCGGCACAACCCUGCCUGGUCCUUGAGCGCCUCCACCGCCGCCACGCACGCUGCGACCAUCAACGAAGUCUUGCUCGCCGAAGCCAUGCUUGCUUGUUACCGCUGAGCUGCUCUGGAUCUCCGAGGAGAUGGCAGUGAAAAGGGCUUUUGUGUGAUCUUGGAGCUUUGGGUGGGUGAUAGACGACAAUGAGGGAGAAGAGCCGCGAGUCCAUAUAAAGCGCAGCUCGCAGCUGGCAGCUGGCUGUUACCGACAGGGAUACAAAACUGUGGAUGAGUUGCAGCUGGGUUUUGAUUACCAGCGAUGGAACACGAGAAAAAG
RNAcentral lists this long non-coding RNA (9894 nucleotides) under Musa acuminata (dwarf banana). Its description in RNAcentral is "long non-coding RNA (MACU_LNC005570)". The record is from RNAcentral. Lineage: Eukaryota; Viridiplantae; Streptophyta; Magnoliopsida; Zingiberales; Musaceae.